GGGGGCAUAGCUCAGCUGGUUAGAGCACCUGCCUUACAAGCAGGGGGUCACAGGUUCGAGUCCUGUUGUCCCCA
RNAcentral lists this transfer RNA (74 nucleotides) under Firmicutes bacterium CAG:94. It matches the Rfam family "tRNA". Rfam says of the family: Transfer RNA (tRNA) molecules are approximately 80 nucleotides in length. Their secondary structure includes four short double-helical elements and three loops (D, anti-codon, and T loops). The record is from Rfam by way of RNAcentral. Lineage: Bacteria; Bacillati; Bacillota.